UGGGGAAUAUUGGACAAUGGGGGCAACCCUGAUCCAGCCAUGCCGCGUGAGUGAUGAAGGCCUUCGGGUUGUAAAGCUCUUUUGGCGGGGACGAUGAUGACGGUACCCGCAGAAUAAGCCCCGGCUAACUUCGUGCCAGCAGCCGCGGUAAGACGAAGGGGGCUAGCGUUGUUCGGAAUUACUGGGCGUAAAGCGAGUGUAGGUGGUUUUCCAAGUUGGAUGUGAAAGCCUUGAGCUCAACUCAAGAAAUGCAUUCAGGACUGGGAGACUAGAGGACCGGAGAGGAUAGUGGAAUUCCCAGUGUAGUGGUGAAAUACGUAGAGAUUGGGAAGAACACCAGUGGCGAAGGCGGCUAUCUGGACGGUUUCUGACACUAAGACUCGAAAGCGUGGGGAGCAAAACAGGAUUAGAUACCC
RNAcentral lists this ribosomal RNA (416 nucleotides) under uncultured bacterium. RNAcentral describes it as "bacterial SSU rRNA". It matches the Rfam family "Bacterial small subunit ribosomal RNA", at positions 355 to 787 of the family's 1533-position model. The record is from RNAcentral.